GUGGCUUGAUAAGCCGGUUGUGAAAGCCCCGGGCUCAACCUGGGAACGGCAUCCGGAACUGUCAAGCUAGAGUGCAGGAGAGGAAGGUAGAAUUCCCGGUGUAGCGGUGAAAUGCGUAGAGAUCGGGAGGAAUACCAGUGGCGAAGGCGGCCUUCUGGACUGACACUGAACACUGAGGUGCGAAAGCGUGGGUAGCAAACAGGAUUUAGAUACCCCUGGGUAGUCCCACGCCGUAAACGAAUGUCAACCAGCCCGUUGGGGUGCCCUAGCGCACUUUUGUGGGCGAA
This 287-nucleotide ribosomal RNA is filed under the name bacterium HB-60. RNAcentral describes it as "partial 16S ribosomal RNA". It matches the Rfam family "Bacterial small subunit ribosomal RNA", at positions 575 to 850 of the family's 1533-position model. The record is from RNAcentral.